Molecule: non-coding RNA, 4306 nt
Organism: Callithrix jacchus (white-tufted-ear marmoset)
Lineage: Eukaryota; Metazoa; Chordata; Mammalia; Primates; Cebidae
Source: RefSeq, a predicted model, not a curated record
ACCCUAGGCAUUUCUCAAUAGUGGAUAGAUCAGAGAGGGACAAAGGAACAUGUACUUAGACAACGCUUUCCACUCCGGUGACCUUGCACAGGGGGCAAAGAAGGGAGGUUUCAUCAUUAGGAGCACAGUGCAACCGUGCAAGACAUGCCUCCUUCUUCUUCACCUUUCACCAUAAGUUUCCUGAGGCCUCCCCAGCUUCCUGUACACACUGCAGAACCGAUUCACAGUUGUUUUAAUCCACAAAUACCAAAGACAUGGAUAUGGACAGCCAACUAUGGGUGAGUGUGUGUGUAUGUGUGCCUGUGUAGAGAGAGAGAGAGAGAGGGGGAUGAAUGUGGGUGUGUAUAUUUUAAUUUGCCAAAUUCGUUAUAUUUGUACUGCCAAAUAAACCUGAGGGAUAUACUAUUUUUGAUAAAUAAGAAAAAGAACAAAUUUCACAUUUGUUAUAUGUUUGCUAUUUCUAAGACACUUUUAAAAAAUUAAUUAAUUAAUUUUUAAAUUGCAUUUUAGGUUUUGGGGUACAUGUGCAGAACAUGCAAGGUAGUUGCAUAGGUACACACAUGGCAGUGUGCUUUGCUGCCUUCCUCCCCUUCACCCACAUUUGGCAUUUAUCCCCAGGCUAUCCCUCCCCAACUCCCCCUGCCCCACUGUCUCUACCCUAUUCCCCCCAAUAGACCCCAUUGUGUAGUACUCCCUUCCCUGUGUCCAUGUGUUCUCAUUUUUCCUCACCUGCCUCUGAGUGAGAAGAUGCAGUAUUUCAUUUUCUGUUCUUGUGUCAGUUUGCUGAGAAUGAUGUUCUCCAGAUUCAUCCAUGUCCCUAAAAAAGGACACGAACUCAUCAUUUUUGAUUGCUGCAUAAUAUUCCAUCGUGUAUAUGUGCCACAUUUUCCCUGUCCAGUCUAUCAUCGAUGGGCAUUUGGGUUGGUUCCAGCUCUUUGCUAUUGUAAACAGUGCUGCAAUGAACAUUCGUGUGCAUGUGUCCUUAUAGUAGAAUGAUUAAUACUCCUUUGGAUAUAUACCCAGUAAUGGGAUUGCUGGGUCAAAUGGAAUUUCUAUUUCUAAGGCCUUGAGGAAACGCCACACUGUUUUCCACAAUGGUUGAACUAAUUUACACUCCCACCAGCAGUGUAAAAGUAUUCUUAUUUCUCCACAUCCUCUCCAGCAUUUGUUGUCUCCAGAUAUUUUAAUGAUCGCCAUUCUAACUGGCGUGAGAUGGUAUCUCAAUGUGGUUUUGAUUUGCAUCUCUCUAAUGACCAGUGAUGAUAAGCAUUUUUUCAUAUGUUUGUUGGCCUCAUGUAUGUCUUCUUUUGUAAAGUGUCUGUUCAUAUCCUUUGCCCAUUUUCGAAUGGGCUUGUUUGUUUUUUUCCUGUAAAUCUGGUUUAGUUCUUUGUAAAUUCUGGAUAUCAGCCCUUUGUGAGAUGGGUAAACUGCAAACAUUUUUUCCCAUUCUGUUGGUUGCGGAUUCACUCUAAUGAUUGUUUCUUUUGCCGUGCAGAAGCUGUGGAGUUUGAUUAGGUCCCAUUUGUCUAUUUUGGUUUUUGUUGCCAAUGCUUUUGGUGUUUUGGUCAUGAAGUCCUUGCCUACUCCUAUGUCCUGAAUGGUUUUGCCUAGAUUUUCUUCUAGGAUUUUUAUGGUGCCAGGCCUUAUGUUUAAAUCUUUAAUCCAUCUGGCGUUAAUUUUAGUGUAAGGUGUCAGGAAGGGGUCCAGUUUCUGCUUUCUGCACAUGGCUAGCCAGUUUCCCCAACACCAUUUAUUAAACAGAAAUCCUUUCCCCAUUGCUUGUUUUUUUUAGGUUUAUCAAAGAUUGUAUGGUUGUAGAUACAUUGUGUUGCUGCUGAUGCCUCUGUUCAGGUCCAUGGGUCUAUAUCUCUGUUUUGGUACCACUACCAUGCUGUUUUGAUUACUGUAGCCUUGUAGUAUAGUUUGAAGUCUAGUAGUGUGAUGCCUCCCGCUGAGUUCUUUUUGCUUAGAAUUGACUUGGCUAUGCAGGCUCUCCUUUGGUUCCAUAUGAAGUUCAUGAUGGUUUUUUCCAGUUCUGUGAAGAAAGUCAAUGGUAGCUUGAUGGGGAUAGUGUUGAUUCUGUAAAUUACUUUGGGCAUUAUAGCCAUUUUCAUGAUACUGAUUCUUCCUAACCAUGAACAUGGAAUGUUUCUCCAUCUGUUUGUGUCCUCUCUGAUUUCGUUGAGCAGUGGUUUGUAGUUCUCCUUGAAGAGGUCCCUUACGUUCCUUGUGAGUUGUAUUCCAAGGUAUUUUAUUCUUUUUGUAGCAAUUGUGAAUGCCAGUUUGUUCUUGAUUUGGCUUUCUUUAAGUCUGUUUUUGGUUUAGACGAAUGCUUGUGAUAUUUGCACAUUGAUUUUAUAUCCUGAGACUUUGCUGAAGUUGCUUAUCAGUUUCAGCUUUUGGGAUGAGGCGAUGGGGUCUUCUAGGUAUAUUAUCAUGUCGUCUGCAAAUAGAGACAAUUUGGCUUCCUCCUUUCCUAUUUGAAUACACUUUAUUUCUUUUUCUUGCCUGAAUGCUCUGGCUAGAACUUCCAGUACUCUAUUGAAUAGGAGUGGUGAGAGAGGGCAUCGUUGUCUAGUGCGGGAUUUCAAAGGGAAUGCUUCCAGUUUUUGCCCAUUCAGUAUGAUAUUGGCUGUGGGUUUGUCAUAUAUAGCUUAUAUUACUUUGAGAUAUGUUCCAUCAAUACCGAGUUUAUUGAGGGUUUUUAGCAUAAAGGUCUGUUGAAUUUUCUCAAAUGCCUUCUCUGCAUCAAUUGAGAUAAUCAUAUGGUUUUUGUUUUUGGUUCUGUUUAUGUGGUGAAUUACAUUUAUAGACUUGCAUAUCUUGAACCAGCCUUGCAUCCCCGGGAUGAAUCCUACUUGAUCAUGAUGGAUAAGUUUUUUGAUGUGCUGUUGCAAUCAGUUUGCCAUAAUUUUAUUGAAGAUUUUUGCAUCUAUGUUCAUCAUGAAUAUUGGCCUGAAGUUUUCUUUUCUUGUUGAGUCUCUGCCGGAUGUUGGUAUUAGGAUGAUGUCGGUCUCAUAAAAUGAUUUGGGAAGGAUUCCCUCUUUUUGGAUUAUAUGGAAUAGUUUCAGAAGGAAUGGUACCAGCUCCUCUUUGUGUGUCUGGUAGAAUUUGGCUGUGAACCCAUCUGGACCUGGGCUCUUUUGGUGUGGUAGGCUCUUAAUUGCUGCCUCAACUUCAGACCUUGUUAUUGGUCUAUUCAUAGUUUUGGCUUCCUCCUGGUUUAGUCUUGGGUGGACACAGGUGUCCAGGAAUUUAUCCAUUUCUUCCAGGUUUACUAGUUUAUGUGCAUAGAGUUGUUUGUAAUAUUCUCCGAUGAUGGUUUGAAUUUCUGUGGAAUCUGUGGUGAUUUCCCCUUUAUCUUUUUUUAUUGUAUCUAUUUGGUUGUUCUCUCUUUUCUUUUUUAUCAGUCUGGCUAGUGGUCUAUUUGGUUGAUCUUUUAAAAAAAACCAGCUCUUGGAUUUAUUGAUUUUUUGAAGGGUUUUUCAUGUCUCUAUCUCCUUCAGUUCUGCUCUGAUCUUAGUUAUUUCUUGUCUUCUGCUGGGUUUUGAGUUUUUUGAUCUUGCUCCUCUAGCUCUUUCAAUUUUGACAAUAAGGUGUCAAUUUUGGAUCUCUCCACUCUUCUCAUUUGGGCACUUAUUGCUAUAUAUUUUCCUCUAGAGACUGCUUUAAAUGUGUCCCAGAGAUUCUGGUAUGUUGUGUCUUCAUUCUCGUUGGUUUUGAAGAACUUCUUUAUUUCUGCCUUCAUUUCAUUGUUUAUCCAAUCAACAUUCAAGAGCCACUUGUUCAGUUUCCAUGAAGUUGUGCAGUUCUGAGUUAGUUUCUGAAUUCUGAGUUCUAACUUGAUUGCACUAUGGUCUGAGAGGCUGUUUGUUAUGAUUUCUGUUGUUUUGCAUUUGCUGAGGAGUGCUUUACUUCCAAUUAUGUGGUCCAUUUUAGAGUAGGUGUGUUGUGGUGCUGAGAAGAAUUUAUAUUCUGUGAUUUGGGGUGGAGAGUUCUGUAAAUGUCUAUCAGGUUUGCUUGUGCCAGGUCUGAGUUCAAGCCCUGGAUAUUGUUAAUUUUCUGUCUGGUUGAUCUGUCUAAUAUUGACAGUGGAGUGUUAAAGUCUCCCACUAUUAUUGUGUGGGAGUCUAAGUCUCUUUGCCUUAUAUAACUGGGUGCUCCUGUAUUGGGUCCAUAUAUAUUUAGGAUCGUUACCUCUUCUUGUUGUAUCAAUCCUUUUACCAUUAUGUAAUGACCUUCUUUGUCUCUUUUGAUCUUUGUUGCUUUAAAGUCUAUUUUAUCAGAGACGAGUAUUGCAACUCCU